This 117-nucleotide ribosomal RNA is filed under the name Neogale vison (American mink). The record is from RNAcentral. Lineage: Eukaryota; Metazoa; Chordata; Mammalia; Carnivora; Mustelidae.
GUCUACGGCCAUACCACCCUGAACGCGCCCGAUCUCGUCUGAUCUCGGAAGCUAAGCAGGGUCGGGCCUGGUUAGUACUUGGAUGGGAGAAAUGCCUUUAAAUUAAAAUGCUAGAUG